RNAcentral lists this transfer RNA (76 nucleotides) under Gammaproteobacteria bacterium. Its description in RNAcentral is "tRNA-Ala". It matches the Rfam family "tRNA". Rfam says of the family: Transfer RNA (tRNA) molecules are approximately 80 nucleotides in length. Lineage: Bacteria; Pseudomonadati; Pseudomonadota; Gammaproteobacteria. RNAcentral also lists the same sequence under 6 other names. The record is from RNAcentral.
GGGGCUAUAGCUCAGCUGGGAGAGCGCUUGCAUGGCAUGCAAGAGGUCGUCGGUUCGAUCCCGUCUAGCUCCACCA